This is a non-coding RNA of Pelobates cultripes (western spadefoot toad), 776 nucleotides long. Lineage: Eukaryota; Metazoa; Chordata; Amphibia; Anura; Pelobatidae. The record is from the annotation of a GenBank genome assembly.
CUCAAUCUCUAAAUUGAACUUUAAUCACAUACAGGAGCCUCUUGCAGGGUCUAGCAAGCUAUUAACAUAGCAGGGGAUAAGAAAAUCUUAAUUAAACAGAACUUGCAAUAAAGAAAGCCUAAAUAGGGCUCUCUUUACAGGAAGUGUUUAUGGAAGGCUGUGCAAGUCACAUGCAGGGAGGUGUGACUAGGGUUCAUAAACAAAGGGAUUUAACUCCUAAAUGGCAGAGGAUUGAGCAGUGAGGCCGCAGGGGCAUGUUCUAUACACCAAAACUGCUUCAUUAAGCUAAAGUUGUUCGGGUGAAUAUAGUGUCCCUUUAAGUCUUCUAUUUAAGGGAAACUGCAAAAAUCAAUACAAAGAAACACUACAUUUAUUUAAGUAUGCAUAGGGAUUUGGGGUAACACUUUUAUUGGUUUUUAUUGUAUGUAUUAGGGCUGAUGUGUACUAUGGUCAUACCUGCCGCCCAGGAGCCUGAGUGCAGGACUUAUUUUUGUGUAUGUGUAUUUGCUUUUGUAUCACACAGCCAAGUUACAAUGUUGCUGCCCACCCCAUGUGUUCCCUAUUAAGGGUUAAUAAGUAUGUAGAGGUUUAGAAAGAUACCCCUCUCUGUCUCAUUAGACAUUUUUUCCCCACUUAACUGAAGGAAGCAACGUGAAUUGUUAGCGUAGGACCCACCUAAGAGGUUUGCUUUGAUGUGUCAGGUGGGCUUACACCUAAUGGCCCUUGGAGUGAAACCAAAAAAAAAAAACACCUUAAAUUUAUUUAAGUAUUCAUAG